GAUGAACGCUAGCGGCAGGCCUAACACAUGCAAGUCGAGGGGUAGAAGGAGCUUGCUCCUUUGAGACCGGCGCACGGGUGCGUAACGCGUAUGCAAUCUACCUUGUACAGGGGAAUAGCCCAGAGAAAUUUGGAUUAAUGCCCCAUAGUAUAUAACCUUCGCAUGUUGGUUAUAUUAAAGUUUCAACGGUACAAGAUGAGCAUGCGUCCCAUUAGUUAGUUGGUAAGGUAACGGCUUACCAAGACGAUGAUGGGUAGGGGUCCUGAGAGGGAGAUCCCCCACACUGGUACUGAGACACGGACCAGACUCCUACGGGAGGCAGCAGUGAGGAAUAUUGGUCAAUGGUCGCAAGACUGAACCAGCCAUGCCGCGUGCAGGAAGACGGUCCUAUGGAUUGUAAACUGCUUUUAUACAGGAAGAAACCCUCCCACGUGUGGGAGCUUGACGGUACUGUAGGAAUAAGGAUCGGCUAACUCCGUGCCAGCAGCCGCGGUAAAGUCAG
RNAcentral lists this ribosomal RNA (502 nucleotides) under uncultured bacterium. Its description in RNAcentral is "bacterial SSU rRNA". It matches the Rfam family "Bacterial small subunit ribosomal RNA", at positions 28 to 528 of the family's 1533-position model. The record is from RNAcentral.